RNAcentral lists this ribosomal RNA (465 nucleotides) under uncultured bacterium. RNAcentral describes it as "partial 16S ribosomal RNA". It matches the Rfam family "Bacterial small subunit ribosomal RNA", at positions 28 to 507 of the family's 1533-position model. The record is from RNAcentral.
GACGAACGCUGGCGGCGUGCUUAACACAUGCAAGUCGUACGGUAAGGCCCUUUCGGGGGUACACGAGUGGCGCACGGGUGAGUAACACGUGAGUAACCUGCCCACAACUUUGGGAUAACGCUAGGAAACUGGUGCUAAUACUGGAUAUGUGCUUCUGCGGCAUGGUGGGGGUUGGAAAGCUCCGGCGGUUGUGGAUGGACUCGCGGCCUAUCAGCUUGUUGGUGGGGUAGUGGCCUACCAAGGCGGCGACGGGUAGCCGGCCGGAGAGGGUGACCGGCCACAUUGGGACUGGGAUAACGCCCAGACUCCUACGGGAGGCAGCAGUGGGGGAUAUUGCACAAUGGGCGCGAGCCUGAUGCAGCAACGCCGCGUGCGGGAUGACGGCCUUCGGGUUGUAAACCGCUUUCAGCAGGGACGAAGCUUUUUGUGACGGUACCUGCAGAAGAAGCACCGGCUAACUACGUG